This 492-nucleotide ribosomal RNA is filed under the name uncultured bacterium. Its description in RNAcentral is "partial 16S ribosomal RNA". It matches the Rfam family "Bacterial small subunit ribosomal RNA", at positions 29 to 507 of the family's 1533-position model. The record is from RNAcentral.
AGUGAACGCUGGCGGUAGGCCUAACACAUGCAAGUCGAACGGCAGCACAGUAAGAGCUUGCUCUUACGGGUGGCGAGUGGCGGACGGGUGAGGAAUACAUCGGAAUCUACUUUUUCGUGGGGGAUAACGUAGGGAAACUUACGCUAAUACCGCAUACGACCUACGGGUGAAAGCAGGGGAUCUUCGGACCUUGCGCGAUUGAAUGAGCCGAUGUCGGAUUAGCUAGUUGGCGGGGUAAAGGCCCACCAAGGCGGCGAUCCGUAGCUGGUCUGAGAGGAUGAUCAGCCACACUGGAACUGAGACACGGUUCAGACUCCUACGGGAGGCAGCAGUGGGGAAUAUUGGACAAUGGGCGCAAGCCUGAUCCAGCCAUACCGCGUGGGUGAAGAAGGCCUUCGGGUUGUAAAGCCCUUUUGUUGGGAAAGAAAAGCAGCAGGUUAAUACCCCGCUGUUCUGACGGUACCCAAAGAAUAAGCACCGGCUAACUUCGUG